This 278-nucleotide ribosomal RNA is filed under the name uncultured bacterium. RNAcentral describes it as "partial 16S ribosomal RNA". It matches the Rfam family "Bacterial small subunit ribosomal RNA", at positions 524 to 797 of the family's 1533-position model. The record is from RNAcentral.
CACGUAGGGUGCGAGCGUUGUCCGGAAUUAUUGGGCGUAAAGAGCUCGUAGGCGGUGUGUCGCGUCGGCCGUGAAAACCUGCAGCUUAACUGUGGGCGGGCAGCUGAUACGGGCAGGCUGGAGUUCGGUAGGGGGAGACUGGAAUUCCUGGUGUAGCGGUGAAAUGCGUAGAUAUCUGGAGGAAUACCGGUGGCGAAGGCGCAUCCUGGACCGGCAUUGACGCUGAGGAGCGAAAGCCAGGGGAGCAAAGCGGGAUUAAGAUGACCCCUGGUAGUCCC